AUUGAACGCUGGCGGCAUGCUUUACACAUGCAAGUCGGACGGCAGCACAGAGAAGCUUGCUUCUUGGGUGGCGAGUGGCGAACGGGUGAGUAACAUAUCGGAACGUACCGAGCAGUGGGGGAUAACUAAUCGAAAGAUUAGCUAAUACCGCAUAUCUUCUGAGGAAGAAAGCAGGGGACCAUUUGGCCUUGCGCUGUUUGAGCGGCCGAUAUCUGAUUAGCUAGUUGGUGGGGUAAAGGCCUACCAAGGCGACGAUCAGUAGCGGGUCUGAGAGGAUGAUCCGCCACACUGGGACUGAGACACGGCCCAGACUCCUACGGGAGGCAGCAGUGGGGAAUUUUGGACAAUGGGCGCAAGCCUGAUCCAGCCAUGCCGCGUGUCUGAAGAAGGCCUUCGGGUUGUAAAGGUCUUUUGUCAGGGAAGAAAAGGGCGGGGUUAAUACCCCUGUCUGAUGACGUACCUGAAGAAUAAG
This 472-nucleotide ribosomal RNA is filed under the name Neisseria sicca. RNAcentral's name for it is "bacterial SSU rRNA". It matches the Rfam family "Bacterial small subunit ribosomal RNA", at positions 30 to 490 of the family's 1533-position model. Lineage: Bacteria; Pseudomonadati; Pseudomonadota; Betaproteobacteria; Neisseriales; Neisseriaceae. The record is from RNAcentral.